RNAcentral lists this ribosomal RNA (497 nucleotides) under uncultured bacterium. RNAcentral describes it as "partial 16S ribosomal RNA". It matches the Rfam family "Bacterial small subunit ribosomal RNA", at positions 28 to 507 of the family's 1533-position model. The record is from RNAcentral.
GAUGAACGCUGGCGGCGUGCCUAAUACAUGCAAGUCGAGCGAACGGACGAGAAGCUUGCUUCUCUGAUGUUAUCGGCGGACGGGUGAGUAACACGUGGAUAACCUACCUAUAAGACUGGGAUAACUUCGGGAAACCGGAGCUAAUACCGGAUAAUAUUUUGAACCGCAUUGUUCAAAAGUUAAAUACGGUCUUGCUGUCACUUAUAGAUGGAUCCGCGCUGCAUUAGCUAGUUGGUAAGGUAACGGCUUACCAAGGCAACGAUGCAUAGCCGACCUGAGAGGGUGAUCGGCCACACUGGAACUGAGACACGGUCCAGACUCCUACGGGAGGCAGCAGUAGGGAAUCUUCCGCAAUGGGCGAAAGCCUGACGGAGCAACGCCGCGUGAGUGAUGAAGGUCUUCGGAUCGUAAAACGCUGUUAUUAGGGAAGAACAUAUGUGUAAGUAACUGUGCACAUCUUGACGGUACCUAAUCAGAAAGCCACGGCUAACUACGUG